GUUGCUGCAAUGAAACGUCAUUGUAGAAGAAGAACAAAAAAAAACGUUUAACCACGAAUGAAGGACAAGUACAAACAUCUUGGAUUAAGUUGACGCUCUUCCGGCGGUUUUCCGACACAGACAAUGUGACGCAGGAUACCUCUGCGUUUCUGACACAUGGACCUGAUGGACAGUCACACAGCCGCAGGAGAAGUGAACGGCAAGGUGGAAUAAAGGCACAACAUUCCCGCCUUGAAUAGGCUGUGUGAAAGGGGCUCGAGAUGGAUAUCCCAAAACUACUGCAAAUGAAAUUCAACCUAUCUACAAGCUAGAUGUCGCAUAGCCUGGAGCCACACCGACUUACAGUUCACGCAUACGGCCUCCCGGCUUCCGCACAGACUCUCGUGAUAGUCUAAAACAACAUUUCAGAGGUGGAGCAGCGCCUCGGAUCACACCGCAUCCGAGUCAUGAUCCAACUGGAAUGAACUGAAGGCCUGUGAAAUAGAACCAGCCUCUCGCCGUCUGAACCACGAACCAAAUAUGUCACUCACAUGGCAAACGGAGACCGCAGAGAGGUAAAGGGAGAGAAGGGUGAAGAGAUGUACAUCGAUAGAUACAUCGAUGGAGAAAUAAGAGCAGGUGAUCCCUCUGGGUAGCUCCCCAUCUCCGGGCCUGGAUAUGAAGCUGCUGUGGCCUUCCAACUGAUACAGCUUCUUCACGUGCAGCUUUUGAACGAAUUGCCCAGUUCUUUAUCGGCUUCAGACUGAAGGUGAGAAUUUGUGUGUCUCCACUGCAUUCUGCCUGUCAGGGGGUUGUUGUCUCGACCGGGCAGCGUGUCUGCGACGGACAAAACAUGGUGAUAUUCUCAGAGGAGGCAGCCUCCUCCUCCUCACCAAAGGCACUUG
Scophthalmus maximus (turbot) is the source of this 884-nucleotide long non-coding RNA. RefSeq lists it as uncharacterized. The record is from RefSeq and is a predicted model, not a curated record. Lineage: Eukaryota; Metazoa; Chordata; Actinopteri; Pleuronectiformes; Scophthalmidae. The transcript is spliced from 6 exons.